Molecule: transfer RNA, 73 nt
Filed under: Operophtera brumata (winter moth)
Lineage: Eukaryota; Metazoa; Arthropoda; Insecta; Lepidoptera; Geometridae
Rfam family: tRNA
About the family: Transfer RNA (tRNA) molecules are approximately 80 nucleotides in length. Their secondary structure includes four short double-helical elements and three loops (D, anti-codon, and T loops).
Source: Rfam by way of RNAcentral
CGAUCUAUGGCUAAAUUGUUUAAGGCUUCGCCGAUGACAGGCGAGGGUGCGGGUUCGAGUCCCGCUAGAACGG